GAAGGUCGACUCCCAUCCUCCCCAUUGUAGCCUUCACCGCUGUCAUUCUGUAUCGGGCUUCGUUGGGAGGUGCUAGUCUGAGUUUGCUGAACAUGGGAGAGUGGUUGAGAACAUCCAUUCUGGAACUGGACUGGCUGGGUUCAAAAUCUAGGCUCAGAUCCACGACCGCACUCUGAUAAGUGACCUUGAGCAAGAUACUUUAACCUCUUUGAGCCUCAGUUUCUUCAUCUACAAAAUGAAAAUGAUGAUGGUACCGUGUGUGUGUGUGUGUGUGUGUGUGUGUUUGUGUGUGUGUGUGUGUGUGUGUGUGUGUGUGUGUGUGUGUGUGNNNNNNNNNNNNNNNNNUGCUGGAAACUUUCUGAGGGCUGGGUGGUUUUCAGGACAGUGUCACCUGAGUUGUCACUGCCUUGAUGAGUUCAUGUGUGGUUGAGUAGUCUAGAUAAUGGUAUAACAGCAAGACAAGUACCCACAUGAUGAUAUUUGUCUCCUUAUAAGAGAAAUCCUUGCUGGAGUUCCCGUUGUGGCUCAUCGCGUUAAGAAUCAGAUUAGCAUCCUUGAGCACGAGGGUUCGAUCCCUGGCCUCGCCCAGUGGAUUAAGGAUCCAGCGUUGCCAUGAACUGUUGAUGUAGGUCACAGACGCAGCUCAGAUCCCACGUUGCUGCAGCUCUGAUUCGACCCCUAGCCUGGAGCCUCCAUAUACCGCAGGCGCAGCCCUGAAAAGACAAAAACAAAAAAGAAAGAGAGAAAUACUUGCUUAUUGUAGAAACUUUGAAAAACAUAAAGGAAAAAUAGAAAGGAACCAUGAUCCCACAACUCAGAAAUAAUCACCAUUAACAUUUUGGUAUAUUUCUUUCCAGUCUUGUUUCUGUGUAGAUAGCUGUUUUCCUAUAAUUGGGACCACAGGCCAUAUUGCUGACUACAUGCCUUCCUAUAUCCCCCACUGACCUGGUUGUCUGUGAGAUGAGCAUUUCCAAUGCCAUUCGAAAGAAUAUUUUUUGAAAUAGGGUUACUAUUUGUUUCACUUUGUUUUACUGAUUGAAAAAUGAUACAUUGAGGGAGUCGAUUAAUAAAUUGGUAGUGUUUUUUUGGAGGAGGGUGUCUGUCCCAUUACAUAUUGUCACCAGUGUCUUGGGCGAUAACAUGGGUGGCAUGUGAUCAGCUGGCACCUUUGUGUGUUAUUUGUCUUGGUGUCACAUACAUUCCUGGGUCCAGAGCAGUUGUCCAUUCAUUCAUUCCACAAAUAUUUAUUGCGUGUCCAUUAUGUGCCAGGCAUUGUUCUGUGUACUUGGGCUUCAUCAGUGAACAAAAAGGCAAAAAUUCCUUUCCUUGUAUAGCCAGGGGCAGGACUUGUAGGGCAGACAGUAAUAAGCUAAGUUAUAAAGCUCGUUAAAAGGUGAUGAACAUGAUGGACCAAACAAAAAUAUGGAGCUGAGCUAGGAGGAUAGUACUGGAGAGGGGGCCGUAGUGCAGUUUUAAAUAGGAUGACCAGGGUCAGCCUCUCUGAGAAAGAAGCAUUUGACCAGGGACUUGAAGAUGAGGAUCUGGUGAUGUAACUAUCUGGGGAUGGGGUGGGGAGGGGGGAAGGGUGGGUACCAGCAGAGGAAACAGCCAAAGCAAAGAUCCUGGGACUAGAGCCUCUGAGAGUGUUUGAGGAAUAGCAGGACCAGUGUGGCUGCUGUAGAGAGUCAUUCUUUUUUUAUUUUUUUGGCCAUGGCUGUGGUAUCUGGAAGUUCCCAGGCUAGGGAUUGAAGCCAUAGCAGUUGACAAUGCCGGAUCCUUAACCUGCUGUGCCACAAGAGAGCUCCUGGAGGGCUGUAACAUAUGAUGUAAAUUUUAUAAAAUGUAAAUUCCAAGAGUUCCCUUUGUGGCUUAUCAGUUAAUGAACCCGACUAGAAUACAUGAGGAUGCAGGUUCAAUCCCUGGCCUCGCUCAGUGGGUUAAGGAUCUGGCAUUGCUAUGAGCUGUGGUAUAGGUCACAGACGUGGCUCGGAUCCUGUUUUGCUGUGGCUGUGGUGUAGACAAGUGGCUGCAGCCCCAAUUCAACCCCUAGCCUGGGAACCUCCAUAUGCCAUAGGUGCGGCCCUAAAAAGCAAAUAAAUAAAUAAAAAUAAAAUAAAAUGUAAAUUCCAGCUAGAACCAAGUGUGCUCUGAUGUUAAAAAAUCCUCUGCAGUGCAAGUCACCUCAAAUCCCUCUUGUUAGGAAACUGGGUGUGAACUAUAAAUAAAUUACACAAGUACAGGAGAAGAGAGAUAUGGCUUCUCUAUUACAGAUAUGCUGAAUCCAUUUAUUCAGCAUGUGUUUAUUGAAUGUCCAACCUGGGCUCGGCCUUGCUCUAGGUGUUGGGGAUUCAGAACAAGACAAAAUUGCUGCCUUCAGGAUGCUUGCAUUCUAGUGGGUGGAGACUCAUGCUUGGGCAAGCUCAGAGAUAUGAUGUGAUAUUGGGUGGUGAUAACUGCUGAAACCAAGAGCAGUGAACCAGGGUUCUCAAGAGAAAAAUCAAGUCGAGUCUAAAUUAAUUGAGUCACCUGUGUGUUGCAGUUGCCAAAAAGCCAAAUUCCAUCUGAGGCUGUGUGAACUGAAUGCCCAGCACCUAGCUUGGGUUCCCUCUGCCCUCAGAUUGUCAAGCUGGACCCAGAGUGUGGCAUCUACAUUCUAGAAGGACAUUGAGAAGUCUCAACUUGUUCAGGGGAGAAUGAUUAAGAUCACAGGGGUGGAAGUGCUGUAGCACCAUCCAGAAGACAGGACCAGGAUCUGUGGAUAUAGGUUUCAGGGAGGUAGGUUGAGGAAUUUUCUUAUGGUCCGGACUGACCAGUGAUGGAAUGGGCUGUGAGAGAGGAUGGGAGUCCAUCCUCCACAGUGCUUCAGAAGGGCCUGGAGGAGUUCUCACCGUGGUGCAACGGGACCUCCAGCAUCUCUAAAGCUCUGGGAUGCAGGUUCGAUCCCCCUGCGGGGCAGAGUGGGUUAAGGAUCUGGCAUUGCUGCCGCUGUGGCGCAGGUUGCAACUGUGGCUCAGAUCUGAACCUUGGUCUGGGAACUUCCAUAUGCCAUGGUGCAGCCGAAAAAAAGAGAAGAGCCUGGAUUCACCUAAGAGGGUAUCAUGAAUCUGGUGGAAGCUGGAUUCAAUCUGUACGGCUCCUUCAAGUUCCAGGUCAUAAUGUACAUGAGAAGAAGAAAGGAUUUUCUGCAUGUAACUUGCAGCAGAUAAUUUCAUAUCAGCCACAUAUUAUCUCCACAAUAGCCAACAACCACCAAGGGCUUAAGUAGCCUCUCAACAUGUGGAAAUCAGAAAUUCUGACAACUCUUUCACUCAUCACUUUAGUUAGGUUGGUGUCCAGAUCUGGGUGCCAGAAACU
Molecule: long non-coding RNA, 3354 nt
Filed under: Sus scrofa (pig)
Lineage: Eukaryota; Metazoa; Chordata; Mammalia; Artiodactyla; Suidae
Description: lncRNA (ENSSSCG00045009513.1)
Source: RNAcentral